This 464-nucleotide ribosomal RNA is filed under the name uncultured bacterium. RNAcentral's name for it is "partial 16S ribosomal RNA". It matches the Rfam family "Bacterial small subunit ribosomal RNA", at positions 28 to 506 of the family's 1533-position model. The record is from RNAcentral.
GACGAACGCUGGCGGCGUGCUUAACACAUGCAAGUCGAACGGAAAGGCCCUGCUUGCAGGGUACUCGAGUGGCGAACGGGUGAGUAACACGUGGGUGAUCUGCCCUGCACUUCGGGAUAAGCCUGGGAAACUGGGUCUAAUACCGGAUAGGAGCCAUUUUUAGUGUGAUGGUUGGAAAGUUUUUUCGGUGUAGGAUGAGCUCGCGGCCUAUCAGCUUGUUGGUGGGGUAAUGGCCUACCAAGGCGGCGACGGGUAGCCGGCCUGAGAGGGUGGACGGCCAAUUUGGACAUGAGUUACGGCCCGAGCCCCAACGGGGGGGAACAGUGGGGAAUUUUGCACAGGGGGGGAAAGCCGUAUGCAGCGACGCCGGGGGGGGGAUGACGGCCUUCGGUUUUUAAACUCCUUUCGCUGGGGAAGAAGCUUUUUGUGGCGGGACCUAGAAAAGAAGCACCGCCUAAUUCCGG